Non-coding RNA from Cricetulus griseus (Chinese hamster), 4992 nucleotides. Lineage: Eukaryota; Metazoa; Chordata; Mammalia; Rodentia; Cricetidae. The record is from RefSeq and is a predicted model, not a curated record.
AACUCGGCAGGCAGAAAUCAGGUGGCUGGCGGAAACCACCCACGUGGCGGUAGGGCUCGGGUGGCUUUUGGUGGAAAGACUUAUCGUAACACCAAUUGUUUGUGAUUUUUGUGCUUAUAAACCCUGCUUCUGCCCUGGCUUGGGCUUUCAGGAGUAAGGAGGCUCCAAAGUCCUUGUCCUGCAGCCCCGAUCCAUCGUGACCUGUUUAUGUGAACCAAUAAGUGUCUCUCUCCUUGCCCAUGGCGCAUAACAGGCUAGGUGUAGCAAUGCUUUAAAAUGUAAGUACACCAAGGCAAACAGGAAGUUAGUAUGGAUGCAGAGAGGUAGGUAAACUGGAAUAUGGUAUGAAACUAACUGAAGUACUCGUAGGUAGUGAAGAGUGUUGGUUGAUGUGCUUCUCUGUUAACAAAAUGCAUCCUGACCACCUCUCGGUGCUUCAGAACAAUGCCUGAUGUGUUCAUCGUUAUUACGGGCACACCACUAAUUGCUCACCACCUCUUAUCCAUGCGUCUCCCUCAAUGCACCACUUCUCUGGCUAGACCAUCAUACAGCCUACCUCCAGUGUUCUCCAACUCUUAAGACUCUGAACAUAAUUGCUUCACAACAAUUUUUGUUACAUCAUUUGCUGUGUUCAGCUUGUUUUUCUAAAAAUGCACGGCAUCAAAUAUUAUCAGAGUUCCUAGUAAUUAUUGGCGUCCAUGUGUAAACCAAGGGCCUGGAAGAGUGAGUAGAGCCAUGGCCACCAAAACAGAGUGUUAGAAACCGUUCCUACCUGAACCAGGAGGGAUACUCUCCCUCAGUAAGAUGGAAGCGGUGACUUGUCACAAUUGUAACAUUUAAUUCUCUAAAAAAAAUUCAGUAAAUUAUCACUCUUUCCAUCUACCCAUUAGUAAAUGAAAACUCCUACAGUUAAGGCAUUCUACAAAUGCUCACAUCUGAUAUGAAAUGGGGUGGAAGCCAGAUGCCAGGCCUACUUGAGGAUAAACCCAUGUCACUUCCCACCAGGUUACACAAUAUUGAUUGCUUUAGAUUUAUCUUAUUAGUCUUUAAAACCUGCACAUGCCUGUGUGUUUCUGUGUGGGUAUGAGCACACAUGUGCCGGUGCUCAGAGAUGGAGGCCUCGAAUUUCCCAGAGCUGCAGGUCCAGGCAGUUGUUAUUUGUCCCAUAUAUGCAGUGACAACCGAACUCCUGACCUCUGGAAAAAGCAGUGCAUUCUCUUAACCACUGAGCUAUCUCUCCAGCCCCAUUGUAUCAAUUUUUCAUGUGUCAAAGCAUGGAAAACAAAAAGUAGCCGAAAACAAAAAGAAACCGGAGGUAUAGAAGGAUCACUGGUUUUUACUGUAUGUUAACACACAUAAAAAUUAUGUCUCGGAGUUCUGGUGUCUUAUUUCAUGCAGGGCAUGGUAGGUUUUCCUGCACAUCCUUGAUGGGGCUUGGCACUGCCUGAACUUAGGCUUAUUAGCUCUGCUGAUGAGGUCAUCAGGUGCUAAGGGAUCCCAACUCUGGCACUGUGAUUUCAGAGACUCCAAGUAGGUUGUAAAAAUGUGAGCCAAGAUCACAAGAAUCUUGUUAACAAGGAGAUGUUGACACAUGAAACAUCAGCAAAGGAGACAAGAUAGCAAGUAAAUGAACACACUGCUUGGUGACAAUGCUCAGAAGGGAGAGCAGGAAGAAAGGCAGGUCCUUGGUUCUCACAAUCCACCACUCACCACUUGCUGACUCUUUUGUUGUCCAACUGGUUAAAUCCACACUCAAGAUGAAGGUCCUCAUUCUACAACAAGUCCUUAUCACUCAGCUACAUGCAAGUAGUCGUCACUUCCCAGGAGACUGGCUCAGUUUCUUGUUGUAUCUGCUGGUGAGAAACCCCAAUGCAGGGAUUAGCAGACAAAGCGAGACACAAGUGAUAUGUUCAAGACUUGUCAAGAGCAUAUAAUUGACAGGAAAAGUGGCUCCUGGGAUGAGAGCCAGCCAGAUCCUCUGGGAGCAGUGCCAUUGGCCAGGCUGGCACACAGGAACACAUGCUCCAGUCUCUCUGGACUUGACAGCUGCUUCAGCCUUUGACAUGACCUUUUGGGAUCCUUACUAACCUGCUCCAGGCAGUUGUCUUCCAUGAAUUCUUAUGAUACGGAUUUCCACACAAGGCUCCUUAUCUUUCCAUCCUGUUUCUAUACAUGCAUGUGGUGGUUUGAAUAAGAAUGGCUCCCGUAGACUCAGCAGUGGCACAUGAGGAGGUGUGGCCUUGCUGGAGUAGGUGUGGCAUUGUUGGAGGAAGUGUGUCACUGAGGUCUUACCUGCUCAAGCUACACUCAGGAUGACACACAAUCUCCUGCUGCCUGCACAUCAAGAUGAAGAAUUCUCAGCUCUGCCCUCAUGUCGCCAUCUCCUACCAUGAUGACAAUGGACCAAACCUCUGAAACUAGAAAAUGGGGGAUGGGGUGAAGCCGGAGUGGGAAAAUUAGUGGAUCCAUUUGAAAUAGAAGUUCCAUGAAGAGCAAAGAGACCGUGAAGGAACCUAUUCAAAAGAUACAGAAAACAAAAUACUGGAAUGGCUAAGGGCCAGCUUGACAGCAACAGCUCACAUCCCCCCUUCACAGGAGGACGGAGAGAAUGGGACAGACUUUGUCAUUGUCCACAGUGAGUCUCAAACUUCUGGAACAAUACCAGUUACUUCUGAGACCAAAAAAACUUUAUAGAUAUAUAAAAUUAAAUAGAAAUAUUUAAAGAGGCCAUAGAGGCAUAGCAUGGACAACACACAAAAUUUGAAGGAAAGCAAAAGCAACAAAAGAAAGUUGAUUAAGAUUCCUCAGGUCUUGAAAUCUGGAUCUGGAUCCAAAGGACAAAAAGAAUUACAGAGAUGAGAGCAAGAAAUACAACACAAAGCCAGAAGACACCAUUCAUCCAAGUUUAUGGAAAUGGCACCUUGAGAGUACAGAACUUUACAGCAGGACAUGGUGGCCCACAUGGGAAGCCAGUGCCAGCAGAUGGGGGUUUCUUUUACCAUAGAAAUGAGGAGAAUGGCAAUGUAUUAAGAUCCCAGAGAAACAGUUAGUAAUAACAAAUGCUCUCCAGGUAGUGUCCGAAUCUGCUGAGCAGCUCUGUCUUUAUCUACUGUCUCUAUCUCAUGGUUCAUUGUUCAUCUGGCUUCACUCUAAAUACACAUAGCUUUUCCAAAGGACUGAUGUGUGAUCUAAUGGCCUGUGGUCUCCAAAAGUGACAGUCUGGGAGGUGGCCACCUUUCAUUGUCCCCUGGCCCAGCAAUGUCUAGUGGUUCUACUCUGAGGAAAGUAAAAGGACAUUAAGGAGGUAGAUAGCAGAAGAUGAAAGGGGCAUUGAAGAAAGAGGCGUGGACAGCCUAGCAGAGGUGUGUCGAGCCUACACUGGGUGUGUGUGGACCUCGAAUACCUGUUUAUUUAUUUUAUGACCCCUCUUGGCUGCCUGUGUCAUAGAGCUUUGAGGACAUCUGUGCUCAGGAAUCUGUUUUGAAAGACUUCAUUCCAGGACAGAACUGCUGGAGAGAGGAUCACCAAUGAUCUUCACAAUUGCCUCACAUGAAGUUCACAGAUCAAGAGGAAACGGUGACAAGGUUGAGGAAGGGUCAUAGGUAGCAGGCACAGUGGUCCUAUGUGACACUUUGUACCUGUGUGAGAUGGGAGCCCAUAAGACAACAAUCUUCCCAAGCUCCUGAUGUUUGGAUUUUCCGUUAACUUUUAAGCCUCUCUAUCUAAGGAGCUCCCUUUAGGGAUUAAAAUUUUAUAUUUACAAGAAAAAAAAUGGAGGAGGAGAAAUCCUUGCUUGCAACUGCCUAGCAGGGAUAGAAGGGGUCGGAACUGAUGACACUUGAAGAUAUGGGAGGCAAGGAGGCGAUUUGGUUAGUGUGCCUACGAGGCCAUGUAUUAUUUCCUUCAGAUAGUCUUCCCCUCAUUCACAGCUGCUAGUGUCUCAUGUCAUAGGCACUUUUAAGGCCAAAACUGAGUGUUCUUGGUUACCCGGAUGUAGGAACUGGAAGCACUUACCAACACCCAUGAGGACAGAUAUGGAACUAAUGAGUUCAGUGCUAGCAAUGCCAUUCGGGUGAUACGACUUCCACACACAGCAUCAAGGGCCUAGAAGAACCCAUGAAUGACAUGGAGAGGAAUCGAUGGGCCAGGUCCUCCAAGAACCAGUCAGGAGGUGGAAUUCUCUCUUGAGACCUCUUCAUGCACGAUCAGACCUUGGAAAAAAGUGACCUCUUGUCAGGCCACAGCUCCAGCAAAUACCUGACCCCAAAAAGGCUUUGCUGCCUCAUACUCUCCACAAAACCAAGUGGCUCCAACUGGACACUUGGAAAGAAAACAGACUUGGAUAAUUGUGGUUAGACAAACAAUUUCAAGAUCAUUUGGCCUGUGUGUUUAGAAGGCUCAGGGGGCCUGAGGAAUGCGGUGAAUUUACAGGAAGAGGGACAAGAACACACAUUCCUCCAGAACGCCCAAUCACCAAGCUCUUGUUUAUUUUUUGGAACCAGUGAUGUCUGGAGAGAGGUCAUCCUUUCUGAGGUUGGAGAGUGAAGACAUGUUCUGAGGUUAUAGCCAGACAAGACAAAUGAGGGAUAGAAGGACAUCUAAUGUGGUUUCUAACAAAAGCUAGCUCCAGUUCAGAGGUGGGAACUGAGAACUGUCGGAGUCUACUGGAGGGCCUUGCAGGGACUCAACCCUGAGGGAGUGUAGACGGAUGCACACCUGAUGCUGGCAGUAAAGGAGCUGUGAUUUGGUGUUGCCUAAAGGUCUGCGUGGUGAAGGUUGGUCCACCUGUGGAGCUUCUGGGAUGUGUUGGACUCUAAAAGUAGCAGGAGGCUGGAGAGAUGACUGAGGAGGGAAAGGCAUUUUCCACCAAGCUUGGUAAACUGAGUUCUAGCUACUGAACCCACAUAGUGGAAGGAGAGGGCCAACUUUCACAAGUCCAAACACAUGCCAUGGUGCAUACAGGUGUGCACACACACAGAUGUACAGACACAC